GUCCUAGCCCUAAACGAUGAUUGCUUGGUGUGAUCGGUACCCAAUCCGAUCGUGCCGCAGCUAACGCGAUAAGCAAUCCGCCUGGGGAGUACGGUCGCAAGGCUGAAACUCAAAAGAAUUGACGGGGGCCCGCACAAGCGGUGGAGCAUGUGGUUCAAUUCGACGCAACGCGAAGAACCUUACCUGGGCUCGAAAUGCAGUGGAUCGGGGUAGAAAUAUCCCUUCCCCUUAAAAGGCUGCUGCAUAGGUGCUGCAUGGCUGUCGU
Molecule: ribosomal RNA, 265 nt
Filed under: uncultured bacterium
Lineage: Bacteria
Description: partial 16S ribosomal RNA
Rfam family: Bacterial small subunit ribosomal RNA
Source: RNAcentral